UGCGGAUGUGGCGGAAUUGGCAGACGCGCCAGAUUUAGGUUCUGGUGUUUACGACGUGCAGGUUCAAGUCCUGUCAUCCGCAGC
This 84-nucleotide transfer RNA is filed under the name uncultured Blautia sp. RNAcentral's name for it is "tRNA-Leu(tag)". It matches the Rfam family "tRNA". From Rfam's summary of the family: Transfer RNA (tRNA) molecules are approximately 80 nucleotides in length. Their secondary structure includes four short double-helical elements and three loops (D, anti-codon, and T loops). Lineage: Bacteria; Bacillati; Bacillota; Clostridia; Lachnospirales; Lachnospiraceae. The record is from RNAcentral.